This 372-nucleotide ribosomal RNA is filed under the name uncultured bacterium. RNAcentral describes it as "bacterial SSU rRNA". It matches the Rfam family "Bacterial small subunit ribosomal RNA", at positions 509 to 881 of the family's 1533-position model. The record is from RNAcentral.
CAGCAGCCGCGGUAAUACGUAGGGUGCAAGCGUUAAUCGGAAUUACUGGGCGUAAAGCGUGCGCAGGCGGUUUUGUAAGUCUGAUGUGAAAUCCCCGGGCUCAACCUGGGAACUGCAUUGGAGACUGCAAGGCUAGAGUGUGUCAGAGGGGGGUAGAAUUCCACGUGUAGCAGUGAAAUGCGUAGAGAUGUGGAGGAAUACCGAUGGCGAAGGCAGCCCCCUGGGAUAACACUGACGCUCAUGCACGAAAGCGUGGGGAGCAAACAGGAUUAGAUACCCUGGUAGUCCACGCCCUAAACGAUGUCUACUAGUUGUCGGGACUUAAUUGUCUUGGUAACGCAGCUAACGCGUGAAGUAGACCGCCUGGGGAGU